CCUACGGGCGACAGCAGUAGGGAAUAUUGCUCAAUGGGGGAAACCCUGAAGCAGCAACGCCGCGUGAGGGAUGAAGGUUUUCGGAUUGUAAACUCCUUUUGGUAGAGAAGAUAAUGACGGUAUCUAACGAAUAAGCACCGGCUAACUACGUGCCAGCAGCCGCGGUAAUACGGAGGGGGCAAGCGUUACUCGGAAUCACUGGGCGUAAAGGGCGCGUAGGCGGGAUAGCAAGUCAGAUGUGAAAUCCUAUGGCUUAACCAUAGAACUGCAUUUGAAACUGUUAUUCUAGAGUAUGGGAGAGGUAGGUGGAAUUCUUGGUGUAGGGGUAAAAUCCGUAGAGAUUAAGAGGAACACCAAUGGCGAAGGCGACCUGCUAGACCAUAACUGACGCUGAUGCGCGAAAGCGUGGGGAGCAAACAGGAUUAGAUACCCUAGUAGUC
RNAcentral lists this ribosomal RNA (440 nucleotides) under uncultured bacterium. RNAcentral describes it as "partial 16S ribosomal RNA". It matches the Rfam family "Bacterial small subunit ribosomal RNA", at positions 338 to 795 of the family's 1533-position model. The record is from RNAcentral.